This 253-nucleotide ribosomal RNA is filed under the name uncultured bacterium. Its description in RNAcentral is "partial 16S ribosomal RNA". It matches the Rfam family "Bacterial small subunit ribosomal RNA", at positions 524 to 776 of the family's 1533-position model. The record is from RNAcentral.
UACGUAGGGUGCGAGCGUUAAUCGGAAUUACUGGGCGUAAAGCGUGCGCAGGCGGCUUUGCAAGACAGAUGUGAAAUCCCCGGGUUCAACCUGGGAACUGCAUUUGUGACUGCAAGGCUAGAGUACGGCAGAGGGGGAUGGAAUUCCGCGUGUAGCAGUGAAAUGCGUAGAUAUGCGGAGGAACACCAAUGGCGAAGGCAAUCCCCUGGGCCUGUACUGACGCUCAUGCACGAAAGCGUGGGGAGCAAACAGG